Non-coding RNA from Pteropus alecto (black flying fox), 108 nucleotides. Lineage: Eukaryota; Metazoa; Chordata; Mammalia; Chiroptera; Pteropodidae. The record is from Rfam.
GUCUAUGGCAUGCUACCCUGAAUGCACCUGAUCUCGGAAGCUAAGCAGGGUCCGGCCUGGUUAGUACUUGGAUGGGAGUCCACCUGAGAAUAUCAGGUGCUGUAGCUU